AUCAUCCCUCUGUGCUGCCGCUAA
This 24-nucleotide non-coding RNA is filed under the name Arabidopsis thaliana (thale cress). The record is from RNAcentral. Lineage: Eukaryota; Viridiplantae; Streptophyta; Magnoliopsida; Brassicales; Brassicaceae.